UGGGGAAUAUUGCACAAUGGGCGAAAGCCUGAUGCAGCUAUGCCGCGUGUAUGAAGAAGGCCUUAGGGUUGUAAAGUACUUUCAGCGGGGAAGAAAAAGAAAAGUAUAAAACAUUUUUCUCUUGACGUUACCCGAAGAAGAAGCACCGGCUAACUCCGUGCCAGCAGCCGCGGUAAUACGGAGGGUGCUAGCGUUAAUCAGAAUUACUGGGCGUAAAGAGCGCGUAGGUGGUUUAGAAAGUCAGAUGUGAAAUCCCUGGGCUUAACCUAGGAACUGCAUUUGAAACUUCUAGACUAGAGUAUCGUAGAGGGAGGUAGAAUUCUAGGUGUAGCGGUGAAAUGCGUAGAUAUCUGGAGGAAUACCCGUGGCGAAAGCGGCCUCCUGGACGAAUACUGACACUGAGGUGCGAAAGCGUGGGGAGCAAACAGG
RNAcentral lists this ribosomal RNA (429 nucleotides) under uncultured bacterium. RNAcentral's name for it is "bacterial SSU rRNA". It matches the Rfam family "Bacterial small subunit ribosomal RNA", at positions 355 to 776 of the family's 1533-position model. The record is from RNAcentral.